Molecule: long non-coding RNA, 981 nt
Filed under: Homo sapiens (human)
Lineage: Eukaryota; Metazoa; Chordata; Mammalia; Primates; Hominidae
Description: long non-coding RNA NONHSAT150213.1
Source: RNAcentral
CCACAGAGUAAAAUAUGAAUGUUUCCGGUGUGAAAGGACUAGUUUGUUUUCAACCCACCUUCUCAUGGAACCAACUAGGAAAUCUAGGUUUACAUCAUCAUUUUCAAUGGAAAGGAUUCCAUUUGGUUUUCAAACUUUAACCUACACCAAAUGUGAACGCGUUUGAGAAUUUGAACUGAAUUGUUUAAGCCAUUUUUGAGUUACGUGAAGGUUAUUAAACUGAUACAUAGAGAUGACAGUUAAUUGAGCAAAACGACACAAUCAAUACGUAGUGAUAUUGGGACACCAACCUAGGGCCAUGUAGCUCUAGAAUUAGAGCUCUUCAUUUCUCUUCUCUUUGGCCUAUUUCUGAUAUCACAUGCCAUGCUGAACCAAGGGGAGUCUCCGAAGGGUGCUGUCCCUGUCAAUGAAAUAAGAAGCGGCUAGCUGAUGUAGCGUCUCCAGAGUGACCGAAGAGCUAUUGGUGGUGGAAUCACUUCCUUCAGCUCGUUUGCUCAACUUCCGCUUGUCCACAAAAAUUGUUAGUUUUGGGUUGCUGAGAGCAUAAAUGUGAAAAUAGGCAGGAGUUACAGAAUUACAGAGUUCCUCUACAUUAAGAAUAACUUUCAGGCCCAUUUGCUUUUUACAUCCUACUGGUGUUUAACCUGGAGUCUUUUGCUAUUUUACGAAGAGUAUUGAAACAUGUCUCUCUGGAGUCAAAUAUUUCAUUUCAGGCACCUCCCUUUAUGAUGUCAAUCUAAGGGCUGAGCUAAGGGAAAUAAAUGUGAUUAUUGUUAUGAGGGCAUACAGUGAGAUGGCAGCAGCCUGUAAGCCAGAAACAGAAGCAUCACCAGAAACUGACCAUGCUGGUACCCUAAUCUCAGACUUCCAGAUUUCUGAAGAACUUCAAAGAAACAAAAGUCUAUUGUUUAAGCCACCUAGUCUGUCACAUUUUGUUAUGGCAAUGUGAGCUAACUAAUACACUACCUUUAAAAUAUAAAC